CAGCCGUAAACUAUGCUCGCUAGGUGUCAGGCAUGGCGCGACCGUGUCUGGUGCCGCAGGGAAGCCGUGAAGCGAGCCACCUGGGAAGUACGGCCGCAAGGCUGAAACUUAAAGGAAUUGGCGGGGGAGCACAACAACGGGUGGAGCCUGCGGUUUAAUUGGACUCAACGCCGGACAACUCACCGGGGACGACAGCAAUAUGUAGGCCAGGCUGAAGACCCUGCCUGAAUCGCUGAGAGGAGGUGCAUGGCGUAGACGUCU
RNAcentral lists this ribosomal RNA (261 nucleotides) under uncultured archaeon. Its description in RNAcentral is "partial 16S ribosomal RNA". It matches the Rfam family "Archaeal small subunit ribosomal RNA", at positions 748 to 1009 of the family's 1478-position model. The record is from RNAcentral.